Dendronephthya gigantea is the source of this 4164-nucleotide RNA transcript. It is a transcript of the gene named spastin-like, with no coding region annotated. Lineage: Eukaryota; Metazoa; Cnidaria; Anthozoa; Malacalcyonacea; Nephtheidae. The record is from RefSeq and is a predicted model, not a curated record. The transcript is spliced from 18 exons.
AUUUGGGAUGAAGACAUAAUAUCCAAUAUUACACGAAGUUUCUCGGAUAUUUUGCUGAAUACGCAAAAUCGUCUCAAUGACAAAAGAAAACAAAAAUAAAUUGGAAAGUAAUAUUAUAAUUUUUGGAAAAUCUAUUGUACGUAUUGUGUUAUUUACUCUGCAAUUACUUUCUUAUGGUAUACUUCAAUUGUUUUACGUUCUAAUUUGGUCCCGGCUCUGGGGGAAAAUGGCGUCCAAAGGUGGAAAAGGAUCGUCAUCGAAGAAACAAGAUGAACCAAAUGGUGAUAAUGGCGCUAUUCCGCCUUCGAUAGUGGAUAUAAGAAGACAUCAUAAACAGUCUUAUGCUUAUAUUGAUAAAGCUUUGAGAAUCGAUGAAUCUGCUGGAAACUGUGAUGCCAAAGAAAGAGCUGUUGAGUGUUAUAAACAAGGAAUUGAGGAGCUAAAGAAAGGAAUAGAAAUACAAUGUGAUGGACAAGGCGAAGAAUGGGAUCGGGCGAGAAACCUGCAAAGUAAGAUGGAAGAAAACCUGAAGAGCACAACAAUGAGAAUGGAUGAACUUGUUGCACUUCUGGUGUCACAGUCUGAUGAUGCCAGCAAAGGAUCAGGUGUAAAAUCUAAAUCGAAAAUAAGUCUUCCAAAGAGUUUCAAAAAACCUCAACCCAAUGGGCCAAGUGUUAGCAGAACAAGCAACAGCAAUCAAGCAAAAACAACAACUGACAAAAGAAAACCAUCUCAAAGUCCAAGGCUUAAUAGACGUCCUGUCUCAAGACCAGAGUCGAGCAGAAUGACACGAGUGCCCUCGGUCAACUCUAUGGACGAGUUGAAGAAAGAUCAGAAGAGGAAAGUGUCAUAUCUAAAAAAUAUUGACACAAAAAUUGCGAAUAGAAUCCUGGACGAAGUAGUUCAAAACUCUCCUGACGUUACAUUUGAAGAUGUCGCCGGAAUGGAAAACGCCAAAAGAUUGCUGCAGGAAAUUGUCAUUUUACCAGCUUUACGACCAGAGUUGUUCACAGGUUUAAGAGCACCAGCCCGCGGUCUGCUACUCUAUGGCCCUCCUGGAAACGGCAAGACAAUGUUGGCAAAAGCUGUUUCCCAUCAAUCGAAAGCGACGUUUUUCAACGUCAGCGCUGCCACCUUGACGUCAAAAUGGGUUGGGGAAGGCGAGAAACUUGUACGAGCGCUGUUUGCUGUGGCGAGAGAGCUACAGCCGUCAAUCAUCUUCAUCGACGAAAUAGACUCGCUGCUUUGUGAGAGAAAAGAAGGGGAACAGGAGAGCAGUCGUAGGAUAAAAACAGAAUUUCUGCUGGCGUUUGAUGGUCUUACCUCCGGAGAGAAUGAACGUAUUUUGGUGAUGGGCGCCACAAAUCGACCGCAAGAACUCGAUGACGCUGCUUUGAGGAGAUUGGUUAAGAGAGUCUACCUACCGCUGCCUGACAGCAAGACAAGAAAGACUCUGCUUGCAAAACUAUUGACUAGGCAUCACAGUCCAUUGUCAGACAGCGAGCUGGAAAAACUAGCCACGCUGACAGAAAAUUAUUCCGGAAGUGACUUGACGGCUCUCGCCAGAGAUGCAGCAUUGGGACCCAUUCGAGAAAUGAAUCAUGACGAGUUGCAAACUAUUUCUGCAAAUAAGGUUCGCAACAUCAAAUUAUCGGAUUUUGUCGAUUCUAUGAAAAACGUUCGUGCGAGCGUUUCGCCAGAGACGUUGAAGAUAUUUCAAGAUUGGACAAAGACAUACGGAACACAAGCGUAGCCUGACAGAAACUAAGCACCGAGGACCACCGUUUACAUCGUUAUAAGCUAUGUGAGGAACAUAGUACUCCACACAACCGGAGGACGUCAACACGAAAAAAAACCAUUUCAAUUUUAGUAAAUAAAUCUCGUCUAUGACUUCAAGUUUUCGCCCGCCAUAUUUUGCCAUAGGUAAAGCACAUGACUUGCCAUUGCGUAAAUUAGUUAAAGAGAGUCUGCGAUGUGUGUUUAACUGAGACGAUAUUCUAUAUUGCACAUGCACGUCAGCUCUGUAUUAAAAUGGUUAUAAUUUAACGGAAUAACAUUGGUAUUAGGCUAUGAAAUAUGUAUUAAGUUGUUAGGCAACAUUAAAAAACAAUGAUAAAUAUAAUUUAGAUAUUUUCUGAAAACGUUCCCUCCGAAUCGUUCAACAAGAAUGUCAUGCGGUUAGUUCGACCAUCACGAGACAGUUGAUAGAGUGACAGGAAAAGUAUCAAAUUACAUUUCAUACCAACUCAUGUAAAAAUCACAAAAUCAUUGUCAACAGAAUGUGGUUGAGAAAUAUUUUCACGACGAAAGCAGUCGCUAUUAUCGCGAUAUAUUUAUUUUUAUUCCUGCUACGAAAGACUAUUUUAUCCGUCGACCGGCGAGUUCUUCAUUGGCUUCUAAAUGACAUGAGAUUUCCUGAUUAUAAUGGUGAGGUCGAAGGUUUCCUUAACUUUGGAAAAAUCAGCUACAAUCUGACCGAGAUGAAGCUAAGCGGUGUCGCCAUCGAGGAUUCAAAUAUCGACAUAUCGAAUCUGUGGGAAUUCAACUACAACGACACGUCUCGUGUUUACAUUUCCUUCCUGAACGGCAAUGCAAAUUUCGAUGCAAAUUGGGAAUACAGCGCAUGGCCUGCCCUGGGAGACGACGGUGAACUGUCAUUGGAGGUUAAUAACGCCUCUUUAGGUUUUGAAGUAACGAUUUUCACCGAUGACAUGGGGUUUAUAAACUACACAAGUGAAUGUAUGGUAAAAAUAAUGAAGGUUGAUCUAGAAUUCUACCAUGAGCCUAAUAUGAUGUAUGACUCAUUCAAACCAUCGAUAAGAAAAAAAGUAAAAGGUUUAUUAACCAAGGGAUUGUGUAAAGCAUUACGUCGAGGCCUGUUGAAAAGAAUAAGCACUACCAUGGGAAACAUCCAAGAGAAAUAUAUCAAGUUUAUGCCCUUUGGCGAUGCUAAAACUUACAGAACGUUUACUGGUUGGGUUCUUGUGUAUCUGUUUUUUACAGCAGUAAAAGUUGUGCAUGAUUUUGGAGUGACAUUGAUACUCGUUCUAGCGGUACUGGUAAUCUAUCUGGUAUACGAAAUCCUCAAAUCUCUCGUCAAUAGAUUUAGUGCGACCAUCCGCCAGAGAUAUCACAAGACCAAAGUACGAUCGCGCAGCGACCCUGAACUACGACCAGAACAGGUAAAGCCAGUUUUGAAUCCUGUUUCAGUAACCAUGAUUUCCCGCGGCGACGAAACAAACGCCCAGAAAAAGACAGCAUUUUGGACGGGGAUCAAUAGAAGAUUACUCUGGUGGAGAAAACCCAAAGAAAACUGAGGAAGAGGAGCUUUGGGAGGAGCGAUGAUAAUUAUAUUUGGAAUUAGGGGAAACCAAAACAUAGUUUCUAUGGUUAUGUUUGUGUAGCUUGAUUGGAAUGUUAGGAUGAACGUGUUUGCCAGCAUGAACUGUAAAUUGUUUUUUGAAGAGUGGUCCUCGAAGAAAACUCGAAGAAAACUCGACCCUCAAUAUUUAUUACACAACUUGUUUUAGAAAAUUUUGAAGUUUUACAGUUUUACUAUUUCUGCUGUUUUCAUCUUUGUAUGAAAUGAAAAGGUUUUAUCUAAUUUUCUUCGCCGGCGUUACGUGAAAGGACACUCAGUGUUCGUUACAUUGAGUUAUAUUUAAAUUAAAACGGUUUAAUGAGUCGUUUAUUUCCCCUGGUCAAUAUAAACCAGAGGAAACGAGCUACAAGACAACACCUUCACGACGGACAUGCAACCAAAGAAUCUUAAUGAACAUUAAACACGCCAUUAUGAUUUUUAAAUCAAUCAAACAUUCGAUAUUGCUCUUGUGUUGGCACGAGGUGCGCGCAUAUAAAACAUAAUCUGCGCGGAAUAAUAUCAAUCGUCUCUUAGCAUUUGCAAGUGUCUGUAGCGAUUGAAGUUGGAUAUUUAAGAAACAAGAUGAAGGCCGUAAUCUGUGUAGUAGGUUUUUGUGUUUUCGCCUUUGUACAAGGAGCUUCGUUUGGGAAUGAAAAAAUGGACGAGGAGACUGAUAAUAGGGGAGACGUUGUUGAUUUUCUUGAAAAAACGAAGGGUGAAUUUGAUGACAAUGGUGGAAAACUUCAGAUGCCAAUAUUGAAAGACAAACACUACCCGUUUUGCGAUGUUCGCUAUAAGGCGUG